Rosa chinensis is the source of this 1102-nucleotide long non-coding RNA. RefSeq lists it as uncharacterized. Lineage: Eukaryota; Viridiplantae; Streptophyta; Magnoliopsida; Rosales; Rosaceae. The transcript has 3 exons. The record is from RefSeq and is a predicted model, not a curated record.
CAUGGAACCUGAUGGUAAGUCCUCGAUCUUCCUCUUCCUUUCUCUUUUUUCUUGUUCGCUCUAUGUUAUGGUGAUUGGGAUUUAGGUUUUUGAAUUCUCGAUCUCAUUGAAAGUUAGGAUAUUAAUUUGGGAUUAAUUUGUCAGGGUAUGAGAAUGUGAAAUUGGGGGUUAGGGUUUCUGUUUCUCAAUUUGAAUUUAUGUUACUAAUGAUUGUUGACAGAUUUCUUCUAUGUUUAAUAUGAGAUUGGAGAUAUAGUUAAAGGGAGGACGGUGAGCAUUGCGGAGGCACAGUUCGCGACAGCAAAAAUGUCACGGUACUCGGUCUCGAUUGUGGAUAGCCAAGCCAUUGCCCAGAACAUAAGGUUUUUUCUCUUAAUUAAACUUGGGAACACUCGAGGUUUUAUCUCAUGUGCCUUAUCAGAUUACAGCCAUCAGAGCAGGCAUCUUCUUCAAUGGAGCAACAAUGGUUGAUCAGAUUGUGACUAUCUGUUGAAUGACCAAAUAAUGAGAUGCCAGUAAGUUUACUUGAAAGUUGUCUGCAAUUUGUUGUUUCCUUUGGCCAAAACUUGCAGUUUAUUAUUGCAAUUUAUGCAGGAAGUAAAAAUGAUGAAAAGUGCUGUUUGUGCUGCAUUUGCUGAAAGAGUUUCAUCAAAUGCUGAGGUAGCUAAUAACACCACCACACAUCUAACACUUUUAAGAAUUGUAACCUGUUGAAAACAAAUUCUAUACAGGGAAGUAAGUACCUUUUUGCUGUAUGUGAGAUUUUGCCUGGAAAUGGAAACAAGUGUAGAGAACUUAUGACAAUAUUUUAGGGUCUUUAUGUAGGUGAAUGUUUAAUUCUUUGGGCUUUUCAGUGACAGAAGGAUGAUUGAAAUUGAUUAUGUUUUCCUGUUAUUUUCGUGUUAACAGUAGCAUCAAUCAUACUAAACUGUGAGUGAGAACUGUUGAUUAGGUAGAAUUAUGUUUGAUUGCGUGAUCUUGAUUUAAAGUCUAGCAAGAGAGCUUUACCCCUUUUGUAUACUUGCACAUUUUACCUUAGUAUACAUCCCUCUCUCACUUUGUCUAAUUCCUAAGGUCACUUUGUUUAUAUAUGAACAUUUUG